ACAUUCCUGAUGUGUUUUUAUUUAUCCAGCAUAUAUCAACCUUGGAACGUAGGAAGACUACUGCAGCGAGACAGAAUCUCUGUUCCCUUCAGUUGGACAUUGGAGUAUUCUAGUAUUCAUUGUGCAUUAAUUUUGGAACAGGUACGAAUGUACAACGAUGGAAGCUGCGCGGUGCUGCACCUACACAAGCGCAAACAAGCCCCAACCAGAAUCCAAUUCGGUGACGAUACGCCUCUAUUGGCUACCUCUGUCAGGCAGGAAGCACUGCAGGAUGUGAUACCCCUGCUGCAUGCUAGUCUUCGCUUUGACUGUAUUAUUCGGCGUCCAGCCCCCUACCAGCAGCUCCCCCAUCUCCGCUAUUGCUCGGUAAUAAUUCUGGCUGCGAUGGCACCCAUAUUCCUGUGAAACAGGACAUUGAUGAACCGCUUCCUACUCCUACUGUCCUACAUAGACACUAGGAAAAGCCCACUGAGCGGCAGUAAAGUAUGGCAAUGUACAACGUGCAAUAAUAGAACAUGUGGUGUUUGUUAGGAAAGACCUAAUUUCACGGCAGUUGGCAGUGUGGAAGGACUAUCUCGUGGUGAUGCCAACAUGCAAGUACCCAAUCAGGCUUCCACAAGAGAAGUAUUUGUGUGCUUGCUGUUGCGGCUAAGUUUACUGGGUGUAGAAAAAAAUAAUAUUAGGCGGUGAAAGCCUGGUGGAGAACUGUUUUCAGUCGUGGCCACAUGUGCGCACGACAUUCAUGGUGAAAACUAUUUACUCUAGCAAAGGGCUGCUGAGCAACAGUGGAAUAUCAGAUCGAAGACGAACAGGGGAGCAGCAGCUCUCACCGCUGGUAACAAGAAAUCAUAUGCUCUAUUAUUGGUACUUUAUAUGUACUGUGGCAUGCUCUUUGGGAAUAGGUCUGUAUUCGGGACAAGUACAGGUGCGUCGUACCUUAUUUCAUCUUUUUUUCCUUUCUUUAUUUGCUACUGGCGCUGCAGUAUGAUGUUCUCUUUGAAGAUAGCAAAUUGCGUUCAUCUCUUCAUGAGUACUCUGUCUCUUUGAACAGCCCAAUCAUUUGUCUCUGCCCCACCCAUUCAUUUUCAGGAAUUAUGCUAACUCAUUAAGCGAUAUUGGCCUUGUACCAAAUGAUUUAUGCACUGCAUCGGAGUGUUUUUUUUUUGCUUCUCCAUAUCCUGCUUAGUCUUUGCUUCAGAGAAAAGGGACAAGCACCAGCAUCGCUUGAGCCUUUCUUGGCCGAAAUUUGCUUCUCCGGGAUCCUGGUGAUUCUUACAUCGUCAUGCUAUAGAACAGGAUAUGAAGUAGUGAGUUAUGACGAUAAUAUUUGCCAAUCCAUCACUUGUGGUUCCCCAGGAUCAAAUUUCGAUGGUUUGGGGUGGGGACAGUACGCUCUGUUAAGUUUUGAGCAAUCCCCUAUCCUGGAGGCUUGGCCCCAGGAAAAGGAAUACAACCAGCUAGCCUUUUGGUUUUCGGAUGGCUGGAUCUUAGUCCCUAAGCUGCUUCGGUUAUUCCCCUGGUGAUUUGAAUGCCACACUUUCUUAGCUGUUGUCCUCUUUCUUGUUCUGUGGAUCUGAUUCUACGGUCUCUGAAUUCUCACAUUUUCGUUUUGUAGGGGUGUGUGUGCAAGUCAGCAAUUACCUAACUUUGUUUAGGCAUUGUACGUUUGCACUCGCAAAUAUGAGAAGAAGAAAAAAGAGAGAUAUUAGAGUUCUUAUUGGUGACCAAUCACUAUAUCCACUUGAACUUGCAUUCAGUAUCUGUGCAAUUAUGCUGAAUUGUGGAAUCCAUUUCAAGUAAAUCCUUGAAGAGAUCUUUAUAGUCCUUCAGCAACUAAAUACAGUAAGUAAAUUGCUUACUUUCUCAAACUUUAGGCUCAUGAGUUGGGUUGGUAAGGAAAUCUGGAGGACAGAACUUCAGUAGAGGCAAUGUUUUAGAGGGUUUAGACUUAGAUGGGUCCGGUUCGUUGUCUAAUAAUUAACCUUAUUCUGGGCUGGCCCAUACAUGCACUGGAUAGCAUUAGCAUCUGAUCCUUGGGUUGGUCGCUAGGGUCUUCAGUUUCCAGCAGCCACUGCAAUCGAUCUUCACUCAGAACACUCUUUAUUCUGACCUCUGGAUGUGAUCCAGCUGGUGCAUGGUUGUUAGUAGUAGUACCAGUACCAGCAAUUCUAUUCCAGGACUCGGUUUCCGCUUUUGCCCUUGGCGUUUGUCUAUUGCGUUGCGCCAGGCUUACUUAGCCUUUUCACUUUGGGCAAUCUUUAUGUAAGGCUGCACCGGUUAGUUGUUCCUUGUUGAGUCUUGCAAGGAAUUGACUGUGCCCAGCUCUCGAUCUACUCCACCCUUUAAGUAAGGCAACUUCAGUUGGCAGACCUGGCAAUGACAAGCUAGAAGAUUACCAGGCAUUCCCCCUCCCCCAAAAUGAUUGCAACGACAUCGCACUGAGUCCAAGUAUCAGAGUAGGAUGAUGUAUUCCCCUCCGCGCACCGAUCCCGACAGAGAGGAAGAGCAGUGCUUCUCAAUCGGAAGUAAUCUGCUUACUUCACUAGACCAUUACCAUACCAUGGAUUUUGAUGAGCCUGUCGUCUCCCCAAUGACCAAUGCAGGCAUGCAAGAGGGGGUUCAGCUCUACAGUUCUACUGGAGAUGCUCAACUAAAUAGAAAUAUGAACACAGGCAAGUGUUUAGAGGAUGGCAAAAGGAAGGGUUCUGGAGAGGACAGUUCAUCACUACGUUCUCUAGUAAGGAAGCUAGAAGCUUCCAUUGCUUUCUCUCAUCGUAUCACACUCCCUCUAUUUCAUCCUACUGUACAUGUAAAUGUAUUACUGCAGGGUGAAACCAGUGCAUUGCAGCGAGAAGUCAGCAUGGAGUGUGCUGAUGAGAAGGCGGGUGAUGCUAGAGCCAAGAGAGAGGACUACGUGCAUGUCCGGGCAAAGCGCGGCCAAGCCACCAACAGCCACAGCCUUGCAGAAAGAUUUCGAAGGGAAAAGAUAAAUGAAAGGAUGAAGCUUCUUCAAGACCUUGUCCCAGGUUGCAACAAGAUUACAGGCAAGGCCAUGAUGCUUGAUGAGAUCAUAAACUAUGUGCAAUCUCUGCAGCGACAGAUUGAGUUCCUUUCGAUGAAGCUCUCAGCGAUCGGCCCUGGGCUCAACUGUGACCUCGACCUACAAGAUAUCCUCUGCACACAAGAUGCUAGCUCUGCUUUUCCAGGAUACAACCUGCAAACGAGCAAUGUGCAUAUUAAUCUGUACAGAGCAUCUGAAGAAGGUUUCUCACACAGGAACAGGAUCAUCCCUAGUCCAGCAAAUGUUCACGUGACAAGAAACGCCCAGCUAUCUGCAUUUCCUCAGGUUUUCAUUCGACGCCCUUGAACAGCUUCAAGUGCUUUCCUAUGUCGAUUAUACUAGUUUCUGCCAUGGCAGAGAGGAGUUAUCUGGAACGAGGAGCUUUGCAGCAUCGCUUCAGAUAGAAAUGCUGGUAGCCUGAUUCAAUGAAAGUGGAGUGACAUUGUGGCAACUGACAAGCCGGCAGUUUAAUGGUGAUCAACUCUGAAAGUCUUGACAAGUUGGGUUGCUACUGAGGUGCCUUUUCAAGUUGCAGUGGUAGCACGACUUCUCUUGGGAUGAGCUAGUUAACUUUUGGUAUUUGAGAGGAAUUCUGGUGUGUCCACCCAUCCUGUACAGUUAUUAGAAUAACUAAUCAAAGGAGUACUGUGAAAUUCUUGCGAUCUGGUGGAGAAAAUAGUGGACAAUUUUCGUCUGGAAUUUCUGACA
Molecule: RNA transcript, 3769 nt
Organism: Zea mays
Lineage: Eukaryota; Viridiplantae; Streptophyta; Magnoliopsida; Poales; Poaceae
Exons: 8
Source: RefSeq, marked validated